Long non-coding RNA from Sinocyclocheilus grahami, 1604 nucleotides. NCBI's taxonomy places the organism in Eukaryota, Metazoa, Chordata, Actinopteri, Cypriniformes, Cyprinidae. The record is from Ensembl.
GCAUGCUUUAUUGACUUUAAAAAAGCUUUUGACUCAAUUUGGCACCAAGGACUAUUCUACAAACUUAUUGAAAGUGGCAUAGGAGGUAAAACCUAUGAGCUUAUCAAAUCAAUGUACACUGAAAGUAAAUGUGGCGUAAAAAUCAGCACCAAACGUACGAGGUAUCUUUCCCAGGAGCGUGGAGUGAGACAGGGCUGCUGCUUAAGCCCAAUGCUAUUUAACAUCUACAUCAAUGAACUGGCGAGCAGUCUGGAGCGAUCUGCAGCCCCUGGCCUCACCCUACACAACUCUCAGAUCAGAUGCCUGCUGUAUGCAGACGACCUGCUUCUGCUGUCUCCCACUCAACACGCUUUACAGCAGAACCUGGACCUGCUACAGCAAUACUGCCAGACCUGGGCUCUGACAGUCAACCUGAAGAAAACCAGAAUUAUGAUCUUUCAGAAAAGAUCCAGAUCCCAGGGAACACCACACACAUUUACAUUAGGCACUCAGCAGAUAACACACACAUCACACUACAACUACCUGGGUUUGAAAAUCACAUCCACGGGAAACUUUAAUCAUGCUGUGAAUGAACUGAGAGAUAAAGCACGCAGGGCCUUCUACGCCAUCAAACGGCAAUGUCCUAUAGAGAUCCCUAUUAGAAUUUGGCUGAAAAUAUUAGAAUCAGUAAUUGAGCCCAUUGCCCUCUAUGGCAGUGAGGUGUGGGGUCCACUGACAAAUCCCAAUCAAGAUUUCACCAAAUGGGAAAAACAUCCGAUUGAGACCCUGCAUGCAGAACUCUGUAAAAAUAUACUACACGUGCACCGUCACACAACAAAUAACGCAUGCAGGGCAGAAUUAGGCAAAUAUCCUCUAAUCAUAAAGAUACAAAAAAGGGCGAUUAAAUUCUGGAAACAUCUGAAGCUCAGUGACCCCCAAUCAUAUCAUUAUAAAGCCCUGCAAUACCAAGAGAUGAGCAAAGAAAGCAAGGCCCUCCCUCAGCUGAUCCAGAGCUUCAGUCCUGAUGCUUCACUAACAUCUACUGCUGCUCUGCAUCACAGCAUCAGAAUCAGUCAGAUUACUGCACAGAUCAAACAGAGCUACAUCACUCACUGGCAAACCCAAACACAACAGCAGAGUAAAGUGCAAUGCUAUCUGGCCCUAAAGAGAGAGUACAGUACGGCAGAGUAUCUGUACACAGUGUCAGAUAAGAAACUGAGAAGCACGUUGACCAGAUACAGACUCAGCGGACACAAGCUGAUGAUAGAGACGGGCAGACACAGAAAAACAUGGCUGCCACCGGAGCAGAGACUGUGUUCACACUGUGAUCUGAAUCAGAUUGAAACAGAGCUGCACUUCCUAACAGAAUGCCCCAAAUACACAGAUAUACGGACAGUGUUCUAUGAGAAAAUACAGCAGAUCCAUCAGACAUUUCAAACUCUCUCAGACCAGGAGAAAGUGGCGUAUCUGUUAGGAGAACAGAAGAACUGCUGUGUGUUUGCUGCUCAAUAUGUGUCUGCCUGUCACCACAGAAGAGAAAACACUCACCCUGCCCUGAUCUGAUGUUUCCAGCACAGCUACAUUAUAUUAGGCCAUAUUACAUUACUUAGAUGUACAUUCUGCUU